AGAGUUUGAUCAUGGCUCAGAUUGAACGCUGGCGGCAGGCUUAACACAUGCAAGUCGAGCGGAAACGAUGAUAGCUUGCUAUCAGGCGUCGAGCGGCGGACGGGUGAGUAAUGCUUAGGAAUCUGCCCAGUAGUGGGGGACAACAGUCGGAAACGGCUGCUAAUACCGCAUACGCCCUACGGGGGAAAGCAGGGGAUCUUCGGACCUUGCGCUAUUGGAUGAGCCUAAGUCGGAUUAGCUAGUUGGUGAGGUAAAGGCUCACCAAGGCCACGAUCCGUAGCUGGUUUGAGAGGAUGAUCAGCCACAUCGGGACUGAGACACGGCCCGAACUCCUACGGGAGGCAGCAGUGGGGAAUAUUGGACAAUGGGGGCAACCCUGAUCCAGCCAUGCCGCGUGUGUGAAGAAGGCUUUCGGGUUGUAAAGCACUUUCAGCGAGGAGGAAGGCUCUAAAGUUAAUACCUUUAGGGAUUGACGUUACUCGCAGAAGAAGCACCGGCUAACUCCGUGCCAGCAGCCGCGGUAAUACGGAGGGUGCAAGCGUUAAUCGGAAUUACUGGGCGUAAAGCGCGCGUAGGUGGUUGAGUAAGCGAGAUGUGAAAGCCCCGGGCUUAACCUGGGAACGGCAUUUCGAACUGCUCGGCUAGAGUGUGGUAGAGGGUAGUGGAAUUUCCUGUGUAGCGGUGAAAUGCGUAGAUAUAGGAAGGAACACCAGUGGCGAAGGCGGCUACCUGGACCAACACUGACACUGAGGUGCGAAAGCGUGGGGAGCAAACAGGAUUAGAUACCCUGGUAGUCCACGCCGUAAACGAUGUCAACUAGCCGUUGGGGAUCUUGAAUCCUUAGUGGCGCAGCUAACGCACUAAGUUGACCGCCUGGGGAGUACGGCCGCAAGGUUAAAACUCAAAUGAAUUGACGGGGGCCCGCACAAGCGGUGGAGCAUGUGGGUUUAAUUCGAUGCAACGCGAAGAACCUUACCUGGGCCUUGACAUGCAGAGAAAUUUUCCCAAGAUGGAUUGGUGGCCUUCCGGGAAAUCUUACACAAGGUGUUGCAUGGGCCUCCCUCACCUCCCGGCCCGGGAAAGUUUGGGGUUAAUUCCCCCUAACAAGAGGAACCCCCCAUCCUUUGGUUGGUUUUCAGGGGAAGGGUGGAGAAUUCCCCGGGGGACUGCCGGUGUCCAAACCCGCGGGAAGGAGGUGUGUGUGUCUCUUCGG
This 1213-nucleotide ribosomal RNA is filed under the name uncultured bacterium. Its description in RNAcentral is "bacterial SSU rRNA". It matches the Rfam family "Bacterial small subunit ribosomal RNA", at positions 8 to 1196 of the family's 1533-position model. The record is from RNAcentral.